This 497-nucleotide ribosomal RNA is filed under the name uncultured bacterium. RNAcentral describes it as "partial 16S ribosomal RNA". It matches the Rfam family "Bacterial small subunit ribosomal RNA", at positions 28 to 507 of the family's 1533-position model. The record is from RNAcentral.
GAUGAACGCUGGCGGCGUGCCUAAUACAUGCAAGUCGAGCGAACGGACGAGAAGCUUGCUUUUCUGAUGUUAGCGGCGGACGGGUGAGUAACACGUGGAUAACCUACCUAUAAGACUGGGAUAACUUCGGGAAACCGGAGCUAAUACCGGAUAAUAUUUUGAACCGCAUGGUUCAAAAGUGAAAGACGGUCUUGCUGUCACUUAUAGAUGGAUCCGCGCUGCAUUAGCUAGUUGGUAAGGUAACGGCUUACCAAGGCAACGAUGCAUAGCCGACCUGAGAGGGUGAUCGGGCACACUGGAACUGAGACACGGUCCAGACUCCUACGGGAGGCAGCAGUAGGGAAUCUUCCGCAAUGGGCGAAAGCCUGACGGAGCAACGCCGCGUGAGUGAUGAAGGUCUUCGGAUCGUAAAACUCUGUUAUUAGGGAAGAACAUAUGUGUAAGUAACUGUGCACAUCUUGACGGUACCUAAUCAGAAAGCCACGGCUAACUACGUG